AGUAGUUUGACCUGGCUCGAGGACGAACGCUGGCGGCGCGCCUAACACAUGCAAGUCGAACGAGACACGAUCUUGAUUCUUUCGGGAAGAUGGAUCAAUGUUUAGUGGCGGACGGGUGAGUAAUGCGUGAACAAUCUGCCUUAUAGAAGGGGAUAACGACUAGAAAUGGUCGCUAAUACCUAAUAAUGCAUAGAUUUCGCAUGAUAUAUAUGCCAAAGGGAAUUCGCAAGAAUUUUGCUAUAAGAUGAGUUCACGUCUGAUUAGAUUGUUGGUGGGGUAACGGCUCACCAAGUCUACGAUCAGUAGCCGAACUGAGAGGUUGAACGGCCACAUUGGGACUGAGACACGGCCCAGACUCC
RNAcentral lists this ribosomal RNA (359 nucleotides) under uncultured Oscillospiraceae bacterium. Its description in RNAcentral is "bacterial SSU rRNA". It matches the Rfam family "Bacterial small subunit ribosomal RNA", at positions 1 to 339 of the family's 1533-position model. The record is from RNAcentral. Lineage: Bacteria; Bacillati; Bacillota; Clostridia; Eubacteriales; Oscillospiraceae.